Molecule: ribosomal RNA, 253 nt
Filed under: uncultured bacterium
Lineage: Bacteria
Description: partial 16S ribosomal RNA
Rfam family: Bacterial small subunit ribosomal RNA
Source: RNAcentral
UACGUAGGGGGCUAGCGUUGUCCGGAAUCAUUGGGCGUAAAGCGCGUGUAGGCGGUCCGGUAAGUCCGCUGUGAAAGUCGGGGGCUCAACCCUCGAAUGCCGGUGGAUACUGUCAGACUAGAGUACGGAAGAGGCGAGUGGAAUUCCUGGUGUAGCGGUGAAAUGCGCAGAUAUCAGGAGGAACACCCGUGGCGAAGGCGGCUCUCUGGGACGGUAUUGACGCUGAGACGCGAAAGCGUGGGGAGCAAACAGG